This is a long non-coding RNA of Astatotilapia calliptera (eastern happy), 1177 nucleotides long. Lineage: Eukaryota; Metazoa; Chordata; Actinopteri; Cichliformes; Cichlidae. The record is from Ensembl.
GUUUGCUCAAGCAACUCUCAAUGAGAUUCAGCGCUCUGGUGACACCAUUACUCUAAGCUCAUUGCCUAGUCAGGUUGGGUGGGUCUACCCUGCCUCCGAAAGUCAAAGCACAAAGGCGCCAGAAGAGAGAGCACCUCUCGAGACAGAUUACAUGUCUGCGGACAAGCGAAUAGGCUUGCACUUCACCUCUGCCUCAGAUGAGCCGGUUAUUAUCUUUUCGUGGUUUUUUUUUUUUUGUGCUCUCGCCGGUCAUGUAAUGCAUCCAGGACAAGAUGCUCGCCUGGCAGCCUGAGCAGGUGGACGACAAGGCAGCUUACACAUUUUCGCUAAUAGCAGGCAGUCAGGGAAACGUAUCUGAAAUGAAGAUGAUGGCACAAGCCUGCAGAGGAAGUCAAAGCAGCCUAGGCCUGAGCCAAAGUGUUUUAAAUGGAUUACACCAGUGUGUCAUUGCGAUUACACGCUCCUUGCAGGGACCGCGACAAGAUGAAUUGUAUUUUAUGGCUUUACAGCAGAUCUUUUUUCUUUCUUUUCUCCUCCAACUUGAAUGCGUGUUUUCCACUACUACGUAGUGUGGUCUGAAUGUGGGAUUGUUUUUGCCUUUGAACUACCUGACAAACAGUUCAUCAUCUUUUUUUUUCCUUGUGGGGACUUUUUCAGUGUAUCUUAGUGCUGAACCACUGAGUGGGAAUACAUAGAUACACACACACACACUCGAGUGAGGCUGAAGCACUAGAACUUGCCCUCAUUUUGCAUUUGAUGCAAAACAUACUGUGACCCUCAGAGAGCCUCCAAAAACACUGCAUGCUACAUACUAAUGCACAUGGCAGUUUUUUCUCUCUGCCUUUACUGUGGGCCCAAUCAUUUUUUACUCCCUGCUUAACCUGUCCCUGUCACACAUCGAGAAAUUAAAACAUCACCCAUCAAGCGUCAUGUUGUUUACACGCCCGUGCAUUUACAAGAACAAUUCGACUCAAAUACACUACCCACCACGUAUCGAACAAAUCAAUGUUAAAAUGUAACAGCAGUGCUCCCUCCAAUGCUAACUUCAUUACUGCAGAAAAUCAUCAGAUAUGGCUAAGUGUGCGAGCAAGCAGAGAGGAUUAUGAAACCUCCGGAGUCAGGGAGAGCGGGUGUGUAUGCGAGUGUGUGUUUGUGAGAGAGAGGUUAGGCCUCAAGG